GAUGAACGCUGGCGGCGUGCCUAACACAUGCAAGUCGAGCGAACGGACGAGAAGCUUGCUUCUCUGAUGUUAGCGGCGGACGUGUGAGUAACACGUGGAUAACCUACCUAUAAGACUGAGAUAACUUCGGGAAACCGGCGCUAAUACCGGAUGAUAUUUUGAACCGCAUGGUUCAAAAGUGAAAGACGGUCUUGCUGUCUCUUAUAGAUGGAUCCGGGCUGCAUUAGCUGGUUGGUAAGGUCACGACCUACCACGGCAACGAUGCGUAGGCGACCUGAGAGGGGGGUAGGCCACACGAGAGGGUGGACGGGGUCCAUGCUACUACGAGACGCAGCAGUAGGGUAUGGGACGCAAUAGGCGAGAGCCUUACGGAGCAGGGCGGCGUGAGUGAUAAAGAUCUUGGGAUCGUAAUGCUCUGUUAUGAGGGAUGAACAGAUGUGGAAUGAACUGUGCAGAGCUUGACGGUACCGGAUCAGGAAGCAACGGCUAACUACGUG
This 497-nucleotide ribosomal RNA is filed under the name uncultured bacterium. RNAcentral's name for it is "partial 16S ribosomal RNA". It matches the Rfam family "Bacterial small subunit ribosomal RNA", at positions 28 to 507 of the family's 1533-position model. The record is from RNAcentral.